ACGGGAGGCAGCAGUGGGGAAUAUUGCACAAUGGGCGCAAGCCUGAUGCAGCGAUGCCGCGUGAGGGAAGAAGGUUUUCGGAUUGUAAACCUCUGUCAACAGGGACGAAAAUGACGGUACCUGUGAAGGAAGCUCCGGCUAACUACGUGCCAGCAGCCGCGGUAAUACGUAGGGAGCAAGCGUUAUCCGGAAUUACUGGGUGUAAAGGGAGUGUAGGCGGGACUGUAAGUCAGAUGUGAAAUAUGCCGGCUCAACUGGCAGACUGCAUUUGAAACUGCGGUUCUUGAGCGAAGUAGAGGUAAGCGGAAUUCCUAGUGUAGCGGUGAAAUGCGUAGGUAUUAGGAGGAACAUCAGUGGCGAAGGCGGCUUACUGGGCUUUAACUGACGCUGAGGCUCGAAAGCGUGGGGAGCAAACAGGAUUAGAUACCCUGGUA
RNAcentral lists this ribosomal RNA (434 nucleotides) under uncultured Ruminococcus sp. Its description in RNAcentral is "bacterial SSU rRNA". It matches the Rfam family "Bacterial small subunit ribosomal RNA", at positions 341 to 792 of the family's 1533-position model. Lineage: Bacteria; Bacillati; Bacillota; Clostridia; Eubacteriales; Oscillospiraceae. The record is from RNAcentral.